This 253-nucleotide ribosomal RNA is filed under the name uncultured bacterium. Its description in RNAcentral is "partial 16S ribosomal RNA". It matches the Rfam family "Bacterial small subunit ribosomal RNA", at positions 524 to 776 of the family's 1533-position model. The record is from RNAcentral.
UACGAAGGGGGCUAGCGUUGCUCGGAAUCACUGGGCGUAAAGCGCACGUAGGCGGACUCUUAAGUCGGUGGUGAAAUCCUGGAGCUCAACUCCAGAACUGCCUUCGAUACUAGGAGUCUCGAGUCCGGGAGAGGUGAGUGGAACUGCGAGUGUAGAGGUGAAAUUCGUAGAUAUUCGCAAGAACACCAGUGGCGAAGGCGGCUCACUGGCCCGGUACUGACGCUGAGGUGCGAAAGCGUGGGGAGCAAACAGG